GACGAACGCUGGCGGCGUGCUUAACACGUGCAAGUCGAACGGAAAGGCCCUGCUUUUGUGGGGUGCUCGAGUGGCGAACGGGUGAGUAACACGUGAGUAACCUGCCCUUGACUUUGGGAUAACUUCAGGAAACUGGGGCUAAUACCGGAUAGGAGCUCCUGCUGCAUGGUGGGGGUUGGAAAGUUUCGGCGGUUGGGGAUGGACUCGCGGCUUAUCAGCUUGUUGGUGGGGUAGUGGCUUACCAAGGCUUUGACGGGUAGCCGGCCUGAGAGGGUGACCGGCCACAUUGGGACUGAGAUACGGCCCAGACUCCUACGGGAGGCAGCAGUGGGGAAUAUUGGACAAUGGGCGCAAGCCUGAUCCAGCCAUACCGCGUGGGUGAAGAAGGCCUUCGGGUUGUAAACCGCUUUCGCCUGUGACGAAGCGUGAGUGACGGUAAUGGGUAAAGAAGCACCGGCUAACUACGUG
Molecule: ribosomal RNA, 468 nt
Filed under: uncultured bacterium
Lineage: Bacteria
Description: partial 16S ribosomal RNA
Rfam family: Bacterial small subunit ribosomal RNA
Source: RNAcentral